RNAcentral lists this ribosomal RNA (254 nucleotides) under uncultured bacterium. RNAcentral's name for it is "partial 16S ribosomal RNA". It matches the Rfam family "Bacterial small subunit ribosomal RNA", at positions 524 to 776 of the family's 1533-position model. The record is from RNAcentral.
UACGGGGGGAGCAAGCGUUGUUCGGAUUUACUGGGCGUAAAGGGCGCGUAGGCGGUCAGCACAAGUCAGUUGUGAAAUCUCCGGGCUUAACUCGGAAAGGUCAACUGAUACUGUGCGACUAGAGUGCGGAAGGGGCAACUGGAAUUCUCGGUGUAGCGGUGAAAUGCGUAGAUAUCUGGAGGAAUACCGGUGGCGAAGGCGGCAUCCUGGACCGGCAUUGACGCUGAGGAGCGAAAGCCAGGGGAGCAAACGGG